RNAcentral lists this ribosomal RNA (263 nucleotides) under uncultured bacterium. RNAcentral's name for it is "partial 16S ribosomal RNA". It matches the Rfam family "Bacterial small subunit ribosomal RNA", at positions 524 to 786 of the family's 1533-position model. The record is from RNAcentral.
UACGGAGGGUGCUAGCGUUGUUCGGAAUUACUGGGCGUAAAGCGCGUGUAGGCGGAUUUAGUAGUCGGGUGUGAAAGCCCUGGGCUUAACCCAGGAAGUGCGCUCGAAACCAUAAAUCUAGAGGUCCGGAGGGGAUCGGGGAAUUCCCAGUGUAGAGGUGAAAUUCGUAGAUAUUGGGAGGAACACCGGCGGCGAAGGCGCCGAUCUGGACGGAUUCUGACGCUGAGACGCGAAAGCGUGGGUAGCAAACAGGAUUAGAUACC